Molecule: long non-coding RNA, 9801 nt
Filed under: Sorghum bicolor (sorghum)
Lineage: Eukaryota; Viridiplantae; Streptophyta; Magnoliopsida; Poales; Poaceae
Description: long non-coding RNA (SBIC_LNC017769)
Rfam family: Plant small nucleolar RNA R71 (bases 9367-9473)
Source: RNAcentral
CAUAGUGCAGCUGUGGUGAAGCCUGCGCCUCUCUCCUUGCCCAAUCCUCGAUCUCCGCAUCAUCGAUCUGGUGGUGCUUAUCCUCCCCAAUCAGGAGCUCUCUUGCAUCCCCAACCCCAAUGAGCAGCCCGUGCCUGUCCUCAUCCCCACGCACCCCGUUCCCUCCUCUGCUCCCAGUCCAGCACACCAGCAGAACCGCAUCACCGGAGGCCCUUGACCUUGAGCGCUCGUCUGGCGAGGGUGCUGCGUGCGUCGCCGACGCCGGUUGAACGGGAGGGCCAACCAUCUCCCGUUGCAACGCCCUGCGCCGCCGCUGCCCGCGCACGCCCUGUGCCGCCGCCGACGCCCACGUGCGCCCCUUCCCCAGCCAGUGAGCCACCUUUGUGUGCGCCACCACUGCCUGUGCACGCCCUGUGCCGCCGACGAUGCCAACAUGCGCCCCUGAUCCAGCCAGCGAGCAACCGCACCUCCCGUCGAGCCUUCGGGCGACGACGUGCAUCUGCCUCCUCCGCUCCGCCACUACUGCCCUGCCUCCAAUGGUAGAACUUGAACAGGAGAAGAAGGAGAGGCAGUCGGGUUCCUCUCCAAGGUCCUCCUGUAUGUAAGUGCUCUCUUGCUCCUAAUCUUGUAAUGUGUUCUCUGUAGAUUGACAUUUUGAGGUUGGAGCCUUAUCUGAGGCAUGAGGUCCACGCCAAAUCUCUUUUUAUCUGAAUACCUCUUGUCUGAGCUUGCCUAAAGAACAAGUGUUCAUUGUAGUUAAAGGAAAACGGCUUCAUAAGCUGGCAAGUCCAGAAGCCACUCAUAACCGGUUUAAUCAGCAGGGCCAUCUAAUUUUACAAUAGUGCUGUAUGAAGGAAUCAGUGCUAAACAUUUCUUAAUCCUUGUAAUUUGAAGAUCAACUAAUCAGCAGGGCCAUCUGAAUACCUCUUAUUUAAUUUGAAGAUCAUGUAAUUUGAUCUCAUGAAAUGAUGUCUUGAAACUGGUGGUCUAACAGAUUCUGAUGUGUUUCAGAAUACAUUAGUCUAUGGGCAUUAGCUAAAAGGGCAAAGUUGCUUUGUUCAUGCUUGCUUUAGUUUUUUAGUUGAUCAAAGUUGAUACUUGUCUUCUUUAAACAGACCAUUUGCUUUUUUUGCUCACCCAGGUUUCCAAUCUGAUUCAGAUAUCUUUAGCCAAACUUAGCGUAUAGGCCUCAAAGCAUAGUACUAUUUUGGGUUUAGCACCCUCUGUUUUGCUGGUGUGGAAGGAAAGCGGGGAUUGUUGCCCUCUUGGUGUUGAUGCAGUGAUGCUAUGUUCAGUAGAGGAAGCACAAUGAAGCUAUUGUGCAUAUUGUUCAGAGUAAGCUAAGAAGUUAUAAAUAUCACAUCUGAGCAUUGUAUUUUCACCAUGAGAGUCUCUCAAUGGAAGACUCUCUUUUGCAACAAGAAUAAAAUAACAUGGAGAGGAUAUUUGGAUCAGUUGCUAGAAUCUUAUGAAAAAUUAUUGCAAAUUAAUUACUGAAAAUGAAUAUCAGGUAAGUAGUGCAGUAGUGCAUCACUAGAAAUAAUAUAUUUGAUAAGUAGUGCAGUAGUAGCAACUUCGACAAAAUUAAACUUGCCUUCAAAAAUGUUUUUGUGGAUACUUGCUGGAAUGCCCCUCAAAGAUUAACUGAAGAAGUUUAUCAAUUGAGUAAUCAAUGUCAUAAAGGCAUAAAGCUGCAAAGUUUUUGAGGCCAAGAAUUGGUUCCGAUAUUUUGUCCAUGAAAUGAAACCGGUUUGAAAAAGGUUUAAAAAUGAAAUGAAAAUCAAUCUUCCAGUCCUCCAGGACUGCAGGAUCCAUCCUUUAUUUCUUUUCCUUUGUAUAUCUACCCAUCCAGUGUUUUCUUUCUUUCCUUAUUUUUUUCCUUUCUUGUUUCCUUCUGCUCCUAUUUGAUCACGGUGGAUCUCUUGCAGCGGCAACGGCAUGCAGCACGUACGCAUCAUUGUAAAGGAGGCAAAUGCGUCAGUACCUCGCACUAUGAGCAUCAACUUGUUCAUGUAGGAGCACUGGGUAUCAGAAGAGCCUUCACUUCAACUGUAUCUGCCUUCCCAAUGGGGAUUGGGGCUUCCUUGACAUGUCAAUCCCAUUGUGCUCAGUAAUCGCCAUCUGGGACGCAGAAAAUCAAGGAGCAGAUCGGGGAAAAGCCAGACGACAUUGCAUUACAACGGCUUGAAGGCGGUAUCGUUGCAAUCUUGUGCAGGUAUUAUUCGUAUCAAAUCACGAUGAUGCAUUCUUUAUGUUAUUCUAUUUUUGGCAUUCUUGUACUAUGUUAAUUGCAAUGUCUGUGGAUGAUAAGUUUGCGGUAAUUUUUUUGGGAGCUCAUGGUAUGGUGCAUAUCAAUGAGUUCAGUUUUAUAUAUCCGUGCAUUAAGAUGAAUGUAGCAAGCAUCCUCUGAUAAAUGAACUAUUUCUGCACUCAGCAAUUUUAGAAUAUGUAGUUGUGACAAAUUCCAUGGACUCAUCUGAAAUCUUCGGGUAUUCUUAUCGGUCCACGUUUUGAUUGGUUUGGAGACCAUAAAAGCACUACCAAGUGUUGACACUAGCUAACACCACUUAGAUACUAGGUUGUCAUCCCCAGCAUGGUGCCAGAGUGUACAAAGGUAUUUAUAAAUGUAAAUGCUCUCUAGAAAAUAAUCUAUUCUAUCCGCAAGCGCAUAGAUAAAACACCUCAUUGUAGCAUUUCACCAGGAUAAGUAUUCCAGGUAUCGUUAUUUAUAAUUUUGCUUAAGGGGGUAAGGAAUGAAAUUAAGAUAAGGGCAAAACCUAUCAAGGCAUAGACUAGAGAUAAACUUGCAAAAACAUGAUUACUAAUGAGAAACUCGUCACAGAGUCACUUACUUUAGCAGGGGGUAAACCAUAAAGAUAAUGAUAAUGAAUUAUAAGUUCAAGGGAUAAAUAACACAGCGAUUAGAAAAUAGACUACUCCUCAUAUAUGUAGGUGAUGUCGGAUUAGCUAGGGAAUGGAUUCUAAGUUAUCUACUAACUACUAAGUCAUAAUCUACUCUAGUUAUCUACAAGAUCAUAUAUAGCAUAAAAGACUCUUCAUUCAUGUAUAAGGAACAUUGCUAAAGUAAAUCAGAGCAUCGCAAGACUUACUCCACAAUACCGGUUCUGCCUGUCCUAUCAACGGAGGGUGGACUAUAUAAGAAUCAACGAAGCAGUCACUAUCGUGAACUACCACACAACCCGGCCAAUAGGAUACAUUUACAGAUAAAUAACAUCUAAGCACCACGCUCACAUGUGAUCUAUCACCUAACUCCCUCGCGUCAAGAGCUAAGCGCUUUGCAAACUUAUACAUAAACUCAUUAUCAAUCAUAACUAUAUCAAAUAUAGAGCUAGAGCAAACGAAGAACAUAAUAAUUAGAGACAUAAUGCAAUUAGAACAAAGAAUUAGAGAAAGAUAUGAAUAAUACCAAUCUUUAUUACCGAAGAUCCGAAUCCAGAGCGUAGUGCUCUACUUCUCUAAUUGCUAUCUAAUCAAACCUCUAAACUUGAAGGAUUAGGGAGUAGCUAAUUCUAAUUCUCUGUGGGAGAGAAGCUCUAAACCCUAACUUUGAUGGCUACCUCUGAAUAAUGAUUUCUUCUCUUCUCCUCUCUCCUCCAGGGGUGGAGAGGCCUUGGUUUUAUAGUCUCUUCAAGUGAAUGUGGGCCGUCGGAUCAAACCGACAUUGAUUGUAUGGUUUAGAUUGAUCCUUUAGGUCGGUGGAGUUUAGCCCCGAAGCAGAGUCCUGAUCCAACUCCUGGCCAGGGCGGGCGCCCUGCCCCCGAGCCCGAUCCUCUUCUCGUUCGUUCCCGUGGCUUCUGGACUCUUCUAGAUUGAAGAAAAUUGCGCGGCACGUAAUUAUCUCGUUGUAAACAUGACAUGUGGGCCUUCUCUCCAUAUUCUCUGAUAACCCCUGUAGAAAUAGAUAAACACCAAAGCUCGUGGAAUUCUGUCAGAUAAAACACUAAUUCUAGAUGUUUGGUGCAUAUUGAUCCUUUUCCUUGUUUAUUUGAUUAUUAAUUUUAGUACUUAAGGACCGUCAACAAACUCCCCCAAGCUUACCCUUUGCUCAUCUCUGACCAAAUAGCUAAACUCAGACGGAUCAGAAGUUGCUUCGAUGUUUACUUUUCUGACAGGCACACAUGCUUUUAUAUAAAAUUCUUCCAGAUUAGAGUGAAGUAUUAUGGAGCUUAGUACCUGCACUCAAGUCUUAGGUAAUCGAAAGACAAAAUAAUUAAGCCAAGCACUAUUCCUCCUGUCUAUACUUCACCUUUGUUCCAGAGUUUUUCAUAUGUUUUCAAAAUAAAACUCAGAGUUCCCAGCAAUGAUUCUCUCAAGUCUCUCUAUAUGUGGUAUUUGUGGAUCCUUACCAUAAUGUCACUUACCUAUAGCUAAUGGAAUAUUUAAGUGGAGCUCAUAGGAGUGAAAACAGCUCGUACAUAUGUUGUCUAAACGAGCCAUGGAUCCAAAGGAACUCAACAUAUAAUUAAAUCAAGAUGUGCAUGUGUGGUGGAGUAAAAUGAUAGUGAUGGUGAAGAUAUAUAAGUGAUAAUAAAACUUAAUUCUCAUUGCUCCUCAUAUUGCUAUCUCUCCUCUUCUUUGAUCUUUGCUUUGGGAGAACAUGGGCUAUCUUUUUCUCUUUUUUUUUCAGGUGGGUAGUAGAUACCCUUAAUUCUACUGUCGGACACUUGUCCAUUUUUUCCGCUCAAGUGGGCAUCUUUGUACCCCUAAUUCUACUUCGGACACUUGUCCAUUUUUACCUCUCGUCUCACUCUUUUUUCUUUCUUUUUCGAGGUUCCGGGCACUUGUCCCUUUUUAUUUCUUCGCAUAUUUUUUUAUAACCCAUGCUCUUCUGCACUGAAUCUUUUUAGAGAGAGAGAAUAACAAUACUUGGGACAGUGAGUGAUAAUAUUUUUAGCAAUUUUAAAGCAUGAUGAUGGAUGGUGUAGUGGAUGUGUGCAAGUGAAUAUCUUAAUUUAACCACAUGAAAAGCUCCUAAGGAUCUACACAGCUCGAUCAAACUCAAUGUAAGUGUAGUAAAAGAUGUUAUAACAAGUAUGGCUGUGGUAGGUAGUUUGUUAUGCUAGGAACUCAUCAUGUGAUUUGUAAGUUUUCAAAAUAAAUCUCCAAAACUUAGUGUAGUAGGAACAAGAUAAACAGUAGCUCAACUUUAUAUCAUGCCUUUCGCUUACCUAGACUUUUAGUUUUAUGCUUCCCAUAGAUAGUAAAUUCAGUUUUAGUAAUUCCUGGAAGAACUCUAAUAUAGAAGCUAGGUACUGAGCAACUGUUCAUCAUUUCCAUCAUGCAUCUUUUUGGUCUUUUUUUAUUUUUCUAGAGAUUAAUACUUAGCAGAUAAAUAAAGCACACUUAUCUACACACUCUUUUUAUUUUGUUUUCAUGUUUAUAAAAUGUAAUAAAAUAAAGAAAAUAUUUAUUGGAUUUUCUAAGUUUUUCUUUUUAAGAUAAAUAAACACUAAAAUAGAAAAGAAUAAAUAAGAAGAGCAAAUAAAAACUUACUUGAUAAAUUGGGGAGGAACUCCCCCAAGCUGGAUGUUGCUGUCGGUCUUACCCGAUAUUCCAGAACCGCACCAUGGUUGUGAUGUUGUCGUUUAUUGUAUCUUGUCUCAGCUCUUCUACUGCAGCGGCAUGGUCCUGGUUCCAUUUUUGUUGCUCUUCUAGGAGUCUUCCUUGUUCUGCUUGCGUGUUCUGGAUGUCGAGGAGAGUGUUGUCGGUGCGGGUGAAGAAAGCACCAGCCUCUUGAUAGUAGUCAUUCGUGAAAGCGUAGGAGGCGUCGGAGUAUCGUCCUGCAUCAAAUUGGGGCGGAGGUCUGGAUCCUGAAGCUCCAUAUGGAUCAGUGGAGUACCUACCAGUAUGAGAAGGCGGGUUUGUCCAGUGGCGAUCUUGGCUCUCCGGCCAUGUCUCCUCUGUUGGCUCUUGUGGUUGCGCAUGUCGAACCCAUGGGUCUCGAAGGACUCGGGGGUUGUAGUCGCAAUAAUGCAGGUGCGCUGCUUCUUCUGGACCGGGAUCAGCUCCAUACCAGGUGCGUUCUCGAUGGGUGGUCAUCCUUUCAGAUGCCACUCGCUGUGGAGCUCUCUGGUUUACUGGUGUUGCUGCAAUCUCAAUCAAAAUGUUUUGAACAACGUAGAGGCCAAGGUUCGGGUUAGGUAACCGAAUCUUACCUUUAUCAUCAUAUAGCAUAUAAAUUAUAUUCCCUCUUUCUUUAACAUCCGAGCUUGUCUAAAUGUGUCAUAGCCAUGGUAAAUUCUUAACUCAUCUAUGAAUUCCAACGACGAGUUUUCUAGCAAGUGAAGAUUGGAGGCUAGACGAGUGAUAAGUGAAGUACAUCCUACUGGUCCCUGAAGACUAGGUACACUAAGCCAAUGAGAAACUAAAAGUGUAACAGGUGAAGUGGGUACUUUAUUAAUGGCAGCAUAUAAAAGUUGCAAAUCUCCUACUCUUACUUUCCUAAUAUCAUCGCGAUAGAAAAGAAAUUCGGUAGGUCGGAGUCAAUGUUUAGGAUGCAUCUUGAAGAGAAACCAAGAUGGUCGCUUAGCUCUCUCCAAGACAACAUAAUUUCCUGUUUGAACAUCCGAAAAACAAUUCCCCCCUCAUAAUAUUGUAAGGUUCAAAGAAAUUCGAGGGUGAGAAGACGAGAACCCAGCUCAGUUAUAUUCCAAAAAUUUGUCCAACCUAUCAUCUGGAAAAUUAAGUCGAAUUUAGUGUCCAUACCUGUUUCUUGUAGUAAGAUUGGAUCAAGAGUAGGGGUGUGAAUGAAAUCUUUGUUCUUCAAUUGCUGAUAUACUUCCUUCUCUCUUCGGGUCUUUAGUCCUAGGUCUCCUAUCUUGAGAAGGACCUUGACUUGCUGACCAGAUGAAGAUGACGGAGCUUGUGUGGGUGUCGGGUCGAUGCUCAUCUCUGAUGGGUGUGAGGAGUGUCGAGAUGAACUCCUUGUACCAAUGUUCUUGAGAGCCUUCCCUGUGUUCUUCACCUUCUUAAACAUCCUGUAAACAAAAGUUGGCAAAAACACAACUAGUGGAAAAUGUGAGAGAAAAUGUUAGUGGUCAGCUGUCCGGAAUGUCAGUAGUCCAGGGGUUAGUCGUUCAAGAUAAGUUUCUAUUUUGGUAGAACCUCCCCCUAACAACUUUUACUUCCGCUUGGACAGCGGGAUUACUACUCAUUAGGUGAAACUCACUCUCUCACUCCAAAACUACCAACUUCUUUCCCACUCUUCCCUUUCUCUCUACUCUCUUCUCACUUCACUACAAGAGCUCCUUCUCGGGAAACUGAAACUUGUGUGGUUUUCUGGAGUGUUUGUGUGAAGAAGAUGGAGGUAGAAGGUAGCUAUUUAUAGGAGGAAGAGGGGGCAGGCGGGCGCCCUUGGUAGGUGGGCGGGCGCCCACCUUUGGUGCCCAUUCUGGCUGCCCUUUCUCUGGUCCCUUCUCAGCUUGAUUCUCACGCAAAAUAAUGCAUCAUGGGUGGUGGUUGGCCGGUGGAAAAGUGCUGGUUAGUGGAGACAUGUUGGUGGAUGAAAUAAUGUGAUGGGAUGUAUGUGAGGUGUGGUGUAUGACAUGUGGGACCCAAGGAGUGUGGGUCAUGCUUCUAGAAGCUUGCUAUAAUUAAAUAUAAUGCAGGAAAAUCUCUGAGAAUUGAAACUUAAUUAAAAUGAUAAUGGAAAAUAUUUUUGUGCCUUCACAAUAAUUAAUAAAUAUGGGUUGUUACACACCAUGAAUAUUAUUUAUAUGGGGCUUUUGAUUAUUAUGAUAAUGCUAUGACUAAUGCAAGAAUUAUGCAAGAAUUUAAAUAUGAGAAAAUUAAUAAUGCGGAUAAAUACUGAUUUACCUCCCGGUGAGGGUUUGGGAUUUUUUGGUCCCCCAAGCUGGACCUCCAAAUCUUUUAGUCUUAUGAGUUACCUUCCUCUGGAGAUGGUGUCUCCAGUGGUUCUUCAUGAACUUCCUUCACUGUAGAGUCUCUCUCUGGUCUGGGUUUGAAUGUGAAGUGUUCUUCUUUUUCGUUUAUGUUGAACUUGAUUUCUCCUUUCCCGACAUCAAUGUGGGCAUUGGUAGUGCUCAGAAAUGGCCUUCCAAGGAUGAUGGACACUUUUGAGUCAGGACUCAUAUCCAGUACUACGAAGUCUACUGGCACCAGGAAAUCUCUGAUCUUGACUGGAAUGUUUUCAGCGAUGCCCAAUGGAUGUCGAACCGAUUGAUCCACUAGUUGUAGGCACAUUGAUGUUGGUUCUAGGGUCGCAUGCUCAAGCUUUUUGUAGAUUGAUGCUGGCAUCACACUGACACUUGCUCCGAGAUCACAAAGUGCAUUGUUGAAGUGUUGGUUUCCGAUCGAGCAGUCAAUAGUGGGACAUCCGGGAUCUUCCUUCUUCUUUGGUGGUUUAUUGAGGAUGGCCGCACUACAUUCUUCUGUCAGCUUGAUAACCUCAGUGGUGGGCAGUGGUCUCCUCUUGUUAAGAAUAUCUCUGCUGUACUUUGCAUAUGUAGGUACCUGUAUGGCAUCGAGCAGAGGUAUGUUGACAUAUAAUUUCUGAAUGACCUCUACAAACUUACCUAACUGCUCAUCCGACUGCAGUCCUCUGUUUCUUCUGGGAAAUGGCAAAUAGUUGGUGUCGUAAAAAUCUUUCCUCAUUUCUCCAGUUCUUGGUGGUUGUAGCAGAUCUUCUGCUUCAACUAGGCUUUCUUCUUCUAACACUGCUGGUUGCACUGGUGCUGAUGUUCUUUGUUUCUCUUUUGGGUAUGGGGGAUCUCUGGUGGCUUUGCCUCCUCUAGUAGUUAUGUUCUUUACCUGCUCAAUGUUAGUAGCAACAGGCAGUGCAACAGCUAUUUUUAUUAAUUUAAGCUCUACCCUUUUAUUAAGAGUGUUUUACUCAUCAAAGGCAGUUAAUAGAAAAUCCAUUUUAUUGUGUAUAUCUUUUAGAGAUGAUUCAUUUGUAUCUAGCCUUUGUUUAACUUCAUCAUUAAUUUUGGUUUGUUGAGCAAUUAUCUCUUUUAAUGAAAGUUGCUUGAAAGUAUUACCUGAAUUCAUACCUUUGCUAUUGGGUUGACUCGAAGUUGGUUGAUAUUUGUGCUGUCUCAAUGGCCUUUUGAUAUUCUUUGAACUUGGUCCUCUGGUCAGUCCAAUGGAGCAAAUUUUCCAUCUUAGUUGAUAAUGCAUUUACUUCUUCUGGUAUUUCUUCAGUUUGAUGACAUUGUUGAGCUUUAUCUUGGAACCAGCUUUGAUUUUCUGCUAUCUUAUCCAAAAGUAUCUCUGCUUUUCCAGUUGUAAGCUCCAAGAAUCAUCCUUUAGCAGAUGCAUCUAGGCACUCACGAGCCUUCUGGGUUAAUCCAUGGUAGAAGGUCUGCAUAAGUAACCAUGUAGCCAUUCCAUGGUGAGGACAAUCGGAAAUGUAUCCUUGAAAAUGCUCCCAUGCUUCUGAAAUGGUUUCUAUCUUCUGCUGUUGGAAACUGACAAUAUUUCCUCUUAAGGCAGUUGUUUUGCCUAUAGGGAAAAACUUUGAUAGAAAGGCAUCUGACAAGUUCAUCCAGUUGUUGAUGUUAUCUUGAUGAGUGUAGAACCACUUCCUCGCUUUCCCUUCUAGUGAGAAUGGAAAAAGGCGAAGUAGUAUGAUGUCUUUGUCAACUCCGUUGAUAUGGAUUGUGCUUCCAAUCUCUAAGAAAUUCUGCAAGUGUGCACUAGCAUCUUCAUGUGCCUUUCCACUGAAUUGUGUAGCUUGCACCAAAUUGAUGAGGCUUGACUUGAGCUCAAACUCGGGUACCCCUUCUUCUACUACAAAUCUUGGACAAGUUGGAAUGUUCU